Long non-coding RNA from Styela clava, 979 nucleotides. RefSeq lists it as uncharacterized. NCBI's taxonomy places the organism in Eukaryota, Metazoa, Chordata, Ascidiacea, Stolidobranchia, Styelidae. The record is from RefSeq and is a predicted model, not a curated record.
CCAUUCACUAACCAUUUAGGACAAAGUAAUUACAGUUUUAGUUGCUUCAUUGUUGAUUACGAAAAAUCACCAUUUUAAUGUAAUAAAGGGGUUUUUGUAAUCUAGGGAAUUAUUAACAUCAGUGAAUACAAAGUAAACAUCCAUCAUUAACACUCCCAAUUUCUGUGUGAAGUUCUGUACACACCCCUGUAUUUCUGUACCCAUUUGCGCCUUUGUGAUAUGUUUUGGGGGAAUUGAUUCUGUGUCGUCUGUAGUGCAUGUCAAUAAUAGGGUAAAGAUAGCGCUUGUCCGCUUCUCUAUUUGCUUUAACAAUUGCACCAGACCAGCUAUUGCACUCGGUCGGGAUUGGAUAGAUCUAAGUGGAUGUUUUCGUUCAAAAACUAUCGUUCCAGGUGAAAGUAAUACUGGGUGAUGCACAUGAAGUUAUACCAAAAUUAAAGGAGAAUUACGGAAUAGAAAGAAUCGACUUGGUGUUAAUCGAUAACGACCCACCAAAUUAUAAAAAAGAAUUGAUUGAAUUGCUUGACACAGGAUUAAUUCAAAAGGGAACUGUCGUUGUUGCUGAUAAUGUAACGUAUCCAGAGGCCAGCGAUUACGUCAACUUCGUAAGAAAGCAUGAACAAUUUGAGAGCACCUUGUUCGAGACGCAUCUGCAGUAUAGGCCACACAUCCGAGACGGAAUGGAGAAAUCUACCUACUUGGGUUAAUUAAUGUGUGUUUAUAAACAUGAAUGAAAGCAAUGGCUAGGCGAUAUUCUGAUAAAAUUAAUUCCUUCAUUAACAAAAUGUUUACUCACCAGUGGCAUAGAUAAGUAACAUUGUGCAAUUGGCGUGCCGUAUGUCAUAAUCAUAUUUUAUAUAUAUAUAAAUAUAUACUAUCGUCACAAUACCAGUUCAUCAUUUGAGCAACAUCGAUCUAUUAUCUUGAUAUAAGACUUAAUUUGAAAAAAGAAUGUGAAAGAAUUUUAUAAUCAUGUGGA